ACGCUUCUUUUCUACCGAGUGCUUGCACUCACUUGAAAAGAGGAGUGGCGGACGGGUGAGUAACACGUGGGUAACCUGCCCAUCAGAGGGGGAUAACACUUGGAAACAGGUGCUAAUACCGCAUAAUAGUCGACACCGCAUGGUGUUGAUUUGAAAGACGCUUUCGGGUGUCACUGAUGGAUGGACCCGCGGUGCAUUAGCUAGUUGGUGAGGUAACGGCUCACCAAGGCGAUGAUGCAUAGCCGACCUGAGAGGGUGAUCGGCCACACUGGGACUGAGACACGGCCCAGACUCCUACGGGAGGCAGCAGUAGGGAAUCUUCGGCAAUGGACGAAAGUCUGACCGAGCAACGCCGCGUGAGUGAAGAAGGUUUUCGGAUCGUAAAACUCUGUUGUUAGAGAAGAAUAAGUAGGAGAGUAACUGCUCUUACCUUGACGGUAUCUAACCAGAAAGCCACGGCUAACUACGUGCCAGCAGCCGCGGUAAUACGUAGGUGGCAAGCGUUGUCCGGAUUUAUUGGGCGUAAAGCGAGCGCAGGCGGUUUCUUAAGUCUGAUGUGAAAGCCCCCGGCUCAACCGGGGAGGGUCAUUGGAAACUGGGAGACUUGAGUGCAGAAGAGGAGAGUGGAAUUCCAUGUGUAGCGGUGAAAUGCGUAGAUAUAUGGAGGAACACCAGUGGCGAAGGCGACUCUCUGGUCCGUAACUGACGCUGAAGCUCGAAAGCGUG
RNAcentral lists this ribosomal RNA (726 nucleotides) under uncultured bacterium. RNAcentral describes it as "bacterial SSU rRNA". It matches the Rfam family "Bacterial small subunit ribosomal RNA", at positions 66 to 763 of the family's 1533-position model. The record is from RNAcentral.